Molecule: ribosomal RNA, 623 nt
Filed under: Xylodon niemelaei
Lineage: Eukaryota; Fungi; Basidiomycota; Agaricomycetes; Hymenochaetales; Schizoporaceae
Description: SSU rRNA
Rfam family: Bacterial small subunit ribosomal RNA
Source: RNAcentral
AUUAGUCAAUGCUCGCAAGAGUGAACUAGCUAACUGAAAUCAAAGGUGUGUCACUUUUGAUAAGGUAAAGGAAAAGAAAUGAUAUUACUUUACUAUUAGUGUCGUCCAAGUACUCGUGCCAGAAGACUCGGUAAGGCGAGAGACGCAAACGUUAGUCGUCUUAAUCAGGCGUAAAGGGUUUGUAGGCGGCUUUAAGAAUGGAUUCUUUCUAAAUGACAUUACUCUAAUUUUAGAGAAACGUUCAGCUUUUAAGCUGGAAAGAAAGGAGAAAUCAAUUAAAGCUAGAAUCAAAUAGAGGUCAAAUUAAAUAAUACUUGGUGUAAGAUUGGUAUCUUUAAAAACCAAGCGGAAUACUAACGGCGAAGGCUUUUUUCCAUUAAUGAUUGACGCUGAGAAACUAAGGUGAGGACAGAAAAAAGGAUUAGAGACCCUCGUAUUCCUCACUGUCAACGAUGAAUGGUAGUUACUAGAUAUUAUUGAUAUAUACUAUUUUUAUAUAAUCAUUUAACCAAAUCUAGAGGCGAUGUUAACACGAAAACCAUUCCGCCUUGUGAGUACGACUGCAAAGUUGAAAACAAAAAAAUUAGUCGGUUUCGGAGCAAACGAAGUGAAGCAUGUUAUUU